Molecule: ribosomal RNA, 262 nt
Filed under: uncultured bacterium
Lineage: Bacteria
Description: partial 16S ribosomal RNA
Rfam family: Bacterial small subunit ribosomal RNA
Source: RNAcentral
AGCAGCCGCGGUAAUACGAAGGGGGCUAGCGGUGCUCGGAAGUACUGGGCGGAAAGGGCGCGUAGGCGGAUCGUUAAGUCAGGGGGGAAAUCCCGGGGCUCAACCUCGGAAUUGCCCUUGAUACUGGCGAUCUUGAGUAUGAGAGAGGUAUGUGGAACUCCGAGUGUAGAGGUGAAAUUCGUAGAUAUUCGGAAGAACACCAGUGGCGAAGGCGACAUACUGGCUCAUUACUGACGCUGAGGCGCGAAAGCGUGGGGAGCAA